GGGGAAUAUUGGACAAUGGGGGGAACCCUGAUCCAGCAAUACCGCGUGUGUGAAGAAGGCCUGAGGGUUGUAAAGCACUUUCAGUGGGGAGGAGGAUGCUUAGGUUAAGAGCUAGAGUAUUGGACGUUACCCACAGAAGAAGCACCGGCUAACUCCGUGCCAGCAGCCGCGGUAAUACGGAGGGUGCAAGCGUUAAUCGGAAUUACUGGGCGUAAAGGGUGCGUAGGUGGUCUGAUAAGUUAUCUGUGAAAUCCCUGGGCUCAACCUGGGCAGGUCAGAUAAUACUGUUAGACUCGAGUAUGGGAGAGGGUAGUGGAAUUUCCGGUGUAGCGGUGAAAUGCGUAGAGAUCGGAAGGAACACCAGUGGCGAAGGCGGCUACCUGGCCUAAUACUGACACUGAGGCACGAAAGCGUGGGGAGCAAAC
RNAcentral lists this ribosomal RNA (425 nucleotides) under uncultured bacterium. RNAcentral describes it as "bacterial SSU rRNA". It matches the Rfam family "Bacterial small subunit ribosomal RNA", at positions 356 to 773 of the family's 1533-position model. The record is from RNAcentral.